Molecule: ribosomal RNA, 484 nt
Filed under: uncultured bacterium
Lineage: Bacteria
Description: partial 16S ribosomal RNA
Rfam family: Bacterial small subunit ribosomal RNA
Source: RNAcentral
AUUGAACGCUGGCGGCAGGCCUAACACAUGCAAGUCGAGCGGAUGAAGGGAGCUUGCUCCUGGAUUCAGCGGCGGACGGGGGAGUAAUGCCUAGGAAUCUGCCUGGAAGGGGGGGAUAACGUCCGGAAACGGGCGCAAAUACCGCAAACGUCCGGAGGGGGAAAGUGGGGGAUCUUCGGACCUAACGCAAUAAGAGGAGCCUAGGUCGGAUUAGCUAGUUGGUGGGGUAAAGGCCUACCAAGGCGACGAUCCGUAACUGGUCUGAGAGGAUGAUCAGUCACACUGGAACUGAGACACGGUCCAGACUCCUACGGGAGGCAGCAGUGGGGAAUAUUGGACAAUGGGCGAAAGCCUGAUCCAGCCAUGCCGCGUGUGUGAAGAAGGUCUUCGGAUUGUAAAGCACUUUAAGUUGGGAGGAAGGGCAGUAAGUUAAUACCUUGCUGUUUUGACGUUACCAACAGAAUAAGCACCGGCUAACUUCGUG